Molecule: ribosomal RNA, 253 nt
Filed under: uncultured bacterium
Lineage: Bacteria
Description: partial 16S ribosomal RNA
Rfam family: Bacterial small subunit ribosomal RNA
Source: RNAcentral
UACAGAGGUCCCAAGCGUUGUUCGGAUUCACUGGGCGUAAAGGGUGCGUAGGUGGUUGGGUAAGUCUGAUGUGAAAUCUCUGAGCUCAACUCAGAAACUGCAUUGGAUACUAUUCGGCUAGAGGAAUGGAGGGGGGACUGGAAUACUUGGUGUAGCAGUGAAAUGCGUAGAUAUCAAGUGGAACACCAGUGGCGAAGGCGAGUCCCUGGACAUUUCCUGACACUGAGGCACGAAAGCUAGGGGAGCAAACAGG